This 435-nucleotide ribosomal RNA is filed under the name uncultured bacterium. RNAcentral describes it as "partial 16S ribosomal RNA". It matches the Rfam family "Bacterial small subunit ribosomal RNA", at positions 29 to 507 of the family's 1533-position model. The record is from RNAcentral.
AGCGAACGCUGGCGGCAGGCUUAACACAUGCAAGUCGAGCGGGCAUCUUCGGAUGUCAGCGGCAGACGGGUGAGUAACACGUGGGAACGUACCCUUCGGUUCGGAACAACUCUGGGAAACUGGAGCUAAUACCGGAUACGCCCUUAUGGGGAAAGGUUUACUGCCGAAGGAUCGGCCCACGUCUGAUUAGCUAGUUGGUGGGGUAACGGCCUACCAAGGCGACGAUCAGUAGCUGGUCUGAGAGGAUGAUCAGCCACACUGGGACUGAGACACGGCCCAGACUCCUACGGGAGGCAGCAGUGGGGAAUAUUGGACAAGGGGCGCAAGCCUGAUCCAGCCAUGCCGCGUGAGUGAUGAAGGCCUUAGGGUUGUAAAGCUCUUUUGUCCGGGACGAUAAUGACGGUACCGGAAGAAUAAGCCCCGGCUAACUUCGUG